AUGAAGACUCACCCGCCAAACUCCACGCACAACUGCAGGAAUGGAGUCCUCAAUAAGGCUGUGCCUGGGGACAGGACACCUCCUGGCAGCCAGGUUUGGGCUCCACCCCCUGCUGUGACUUCUCUCUGGAUGACUUUCCUGUCCCUGAUGGACCCUUCAGGGCUCACUUCAGGUGACACACCCCCCAGGAAGCCCCCCCCCCAUGCCCAUCCUGUGUACCCACAGCCCCUCUGCCGACCCCUGGCAAAGCACCCUGAACUCUAUAGUGCUCUAUAAAAAUGUAUAUAGAAAUGUCCUGUGUGUCUCCUGUGCUCAGCUACAAGGUCCAAGGCAGGAAUUGGGCCUUGUAUUUCUUCUUGUUGGGUAAUGACUGCAGAGGCCCUAGCACGGUGACACCAAGUGGCAGCCGCACGGGAGCAGGAUGUUGUCUGUUUUGAUUACUAUGUGUUCCAAAGGCCUACAACAGUGCCUGCCACGAAGUGGACCUGCCAUCUAUGGUUAUGGGUAAAUGAGCGAGCAGAUGUUAAACCGAAUAAAGGAGAAUUCUGCUAUUAGAAGCUGUGUGACCU
RNAcentral lists this long non-coding RNA (569 nucleotides) under Ictidomys tridecemlineatus (thirteen-lined ground squirrel). RNAcentral's name for it is "lncRNA (ENSSTOG00000031026.1)". Lineage: Eukaryota; Metazoa; Chordata; Mammalia; Rodentia; Sciuridae. The record is from RNAcentral.